UCGAUGUACACAAAAGUAGAGAUUUUGAAAUGGGGCCAGUACGCAACACCCUAGAAAUUCCACAGCAAUGCACUGAACACCACUCCAAACAUCCUAACAACAACCUACUCCCUAUGGAGGUUUGAGUUUUGUGAAACAUCAGUCGAAUGCCUUGAAUGCUAUGUUUUGCUCAGGUCAACGCUGCAGAUGUAGAGGAUGAGUCUGUUGUUCAGAACCCGUCCUGCAAUCUUCUUUUCCUGCUCGAGGUUUUGUAACAAGCUUGUAGGAGGCCUGUCUGCUGGCUUCUCCACUGUGACACUACACUUCACUGGAUAUAAAGCAGGUGCAUGAAGUCAUGCGAAUGAAGUUUCUUUGGGCCCCCGGUGGGUUUAGUUUUCUAUUCUUGACCCAAUCAAUGAAGCACAUCGGAAGCAAGUUUCAAUAAGAUCUUUGAAACACAAGGUCUUUAGAGCGGCACACUUGCCAUUUUAGAAGAGGAAAAUGUCCCCAUAAUUCAACAAAUCACUGACUCCAGUCAGACUUUCAUUUUUAAAUCAAAGACUAGAAUAAUAUCCCAUCUUAAUAUCUCACAUUAAUCUCAACUGAAUGUAAUGAAGUAAUA
Long non-coding RNA from Carassius auratus (goldfish), 601 nucleotides. RefSeq lists it as uncharacterized. NCBI's taxonomy places the organism in Eukaryota, Metazoa, Chordata, Actinopteri, Cypriniformes, Cyprinidae. The transcript has 3 exons. The record is from RefSeq and is a predicted model, not a curated record.